RNAcentral lists this unclassified non-coding RNA (2056 nucleotides) under Polistes fuscatus (common paper wasp). RNAcentral's name for it is "uncharacterized protein C19orf47 homolog, transcript variant X2". The record is from RNAcentral. Lineage: Eukaryota; Metazoa; Arthropoda; Insecta; Hymenoptera; Vespidae.
CUUGAAAAAAUCAACUCGGACGAAUACUACAUUUUGUGUAUACAUAGGAAAAAUAGUUGUACAUCUAGAUAGUAUGAUGUAUACUUGUGCAGAUGUCUAAAUUCGGCUUAGAGCUGGUUGAAGUAUGAUUAAUUGUUAAAAAAAUAUUCUAUUAAUAUUUCACAGAAUUAAAUAAUAAAAAUUAGAAUACAGGUUAUCUCGUGUUCGUAAUAAAAUAUUGUUCAUUGUUCCAAAGGGUUAAGUAGUUUUGUUUAUUCUCGAAAUUUCAUGAAAGAAACAUUUUACUGAAUGUGUGAAAAAAGAUAUUUUCAAAUUAAUUUUAUUGUAAGUUUAUGUACCCAUAACAACCAUCUUCAGUAAGAUAAUAUAAUCAUUUUAUUUAACUGAAAUAAUGGCAACAUCUUUGUCAGCAUAUUGGGUAAAGUUUUUCAAAGGUGCUGGCUUUCCACAAGAUGUUGCGACCAAACAUGCAGUUGUAUUUUCUAACAAUCGUAUUAAACCAGAUAUGUUGCCAGACUUAGAUAAGCCUAGUCUUAAAGAAAUGGGCAUAACUUUAAUGGGAGAUAUGAUUGCUAUUUUAAGAUAUGCAAAAAAAGUAGUGGAAGAAACGACGUGUGAAAAAUUUCUCGUCGACACAGAAAAUCCAGAUACUCCAGCCAAACUUGUUAAUAAACCGAUAAUUAAAAAAGCAGUGACAAAAGUAACCGCUAAAUCUCCUGUAGUAACUAAAACGAAACCUUCUACGGUUACUAUUCCAAAAAUAGUUAAAAACACAUCUACUGUAGUUCCGAAGAUAACAACUAUUAAGAAAUCAAGCGUUGUAUUACCAGAAAGUAAAAAAACUACAAAUUCAUUGAAAAGGACGUUGGAAACCAAGGAAGGAUUUAAUGAAAGUUAUAGCGAUGAUUGGUCAAUUAUUGCUAAGAAAAAACCAAAGCCACAAACUAACAAUGACGAGGAUAAUGAUAAAGUAGGAUAUACGGUGAUUAUACCAAAAAUGGCAGCUUUGAGAAAUUUGCCUGCUAAAAAAGUAGUUGAACAAAAGCGGACGGUAUUUGAUAGAUUAGGAGAUAGUUCAGUAACUAGUACAACCAAUUUACCUGAGACUUCUCCUACAUUUAAUGUUACUGGACUGGGUAAAAAUACAUAUAAGAGAACAAUAAGCGUUUUCAAUCGUCUUGGUGAUAAAGAUGCUAAUAAAAGUGAUACGCCGCAAUUAGGAAUAUUAAAGAAUGGUACUACCAAGACGACUUCGCAGGGUAUUCUAAAAAAUAGUAGUUCAAAUUUAAGAAUAUCUAGUGUAGCUAAGAAGAAGAUUCUUGCUGCGGGUACGAUGCAUGCCGAUCAUGAAGUUAAUAAUAAAACUGCUUCGAAUAGCGUCAAGCGGUUAGUGCGUACAACUAAAAAAAUUACUUUCAAUGAAAAUGGAUCGAAUUUAAACAAAACAAGAAAUUUCGAAGUUACAUCUGGCAAAUUAGCUUCUGAACGACUUGCUAUAAUACCAGCAAAAGCACGAUUAGGUGUGCUUAAAUCGAGUAGCCCGAAACAAGUUACUUUCAAUAGGGUCGCAACUGUUACGCACGUUAAAAAACCAGAUGUUUUUAGUCGUCUUGGCAUUUAAAGAAAAAUUCAAACACAUUAUUGAGACAUUAUUUCCAAUUACAUAUUCUUUGUACAAAGUAAUAUUAUUUUUUCUCCUGUAAAGAGUACACUGUAAACAUAUAUGUUUUAAUAUAAAAGAAAAUCUAUCAAACUUCUCAAAUAGAUUAGGGUGUCCAUCCAUAGAUGUCCAAGCAAAUAUUUUGCAACUGAUCGAAAUCCCAAGAAAAUUUAAUAGGAGAAAUUUGCACAACUCUGAGUCAGCUACCAAAUAUACGUUUCGGUUCAGACCACAAUAAUCCAGUGAAAUAUACAAAAAUAUAAACGACUGGUGAUGGACACAGCUUGAAUGGAAAAUCUUAGGCUGGUCAGUAGGGACUAGUAUGGCAUUUAACAUGUUAACAAAAUUAGAUUUGCAUUAUAUUAUUAACGAAUUAAAAUAAAUAUAAUUCUAAUA